RNAcentral lists this ribosomal RNA (253 nucleotides) under uncultured bacterium. RNAcentral describes it as "partial 16S ribosomal RNA". It matches the Rfam family "Bacterial small subunit ribosomal RNA", at positions 524 to 776 of the family's 1533-position model. The record is from RNAcentral.
UACGUAGGUGGCAAGCGUUAUCCGGAUUUAUUGGGCGCAAAGGGAACGCAGGCGGUCUUUUAAGUCUGAUGUGAAAGCCUUCGGCUUAACCGGAGUAGUGCAUUGGAAACUGGGAGACUUGAGUGCAGAAGAGGAGAGUGGAACUCCAUGUGUAGCGGUGAAAUGCGUAGAUAUAUGGAAGAACACCAGUGGCGAGAGCGGCUCUCUGGUCUGUAACUGACGCUGAGGUUCGAAAGCGUGGGUAGCAAACAGG